Molecule: ribosomal RNA, 517 nt
Filed under: uncultured bacterium
Lineage: Bacteria
Description: bacterial SSU rRNA
Rfam family: Bacterial small subunit ribosomal RNA
Source: RNAcentral
AGAGUUUGAUCCUGGCUCAGGAUGAACGCUAGCGACAGGCUUAACACAUGCAAGUCGAGGGCAGCAUAAAAGUAGCAAUACUUGGUGGCGACCGGCGCACGGGUGAGUAACGCGUAUGCAACCUACCUAUCAGAGGGGAAUAACCCGGCGAAAGUCGGACUAAUACCGCAUAAAACAGGGACACCGCAUGGUGAUAUUUGUUAAAGAAAUUCGCUGAUAGAUGGGCAUGCGUUCCAUUAGGUAGUUGGUGAGGUAACGGCUCACCAAGCCGACGAUGGAUAGGGGAACUGAGAGGUUGGUCCCCCACACUGGUACUGAGACACGGACCAGACUCCUACGGGAGGCAGCAGUGAGGAAUAUUGGUCAAUGGGCGAGAGCCUGAACCAGCCAAGUCCGCGUGAAGGAAGAAGGAUCUAUGGUUCGUAAACUUCUUUUGCAGGGGAAUAAAGUGCAGGACGUGUCCUGUUUUGUAUGUACCCUGAGAAUAAGGAUCGGCUAACUCCGUGCCAGCCGCCGC